GUUUAUCAAAAACAUGGCCUUUUGAUGAUAAUUUAAGGUCUAGCCUGCCCACUGAAUUUUAAAGGGCCGCGGUAAUUUGACCGUGCUAAGGUAGCAUAAUCAUUAGUUUUUUAAUUGAAAGCUGGUAUGAAUGGUUGGAUAAGAAAAUGACUGUCUCUGUUUAAUUUGUAUUGAAUUUUAUUUUUAAGUUAAAAAGCUUAAGUUUAUUUUAAAGACGAGAAGACCCUUUAGAGUUUUAUAAAUUAUUUUGUUAAUAUUUUGGGAAUUUAAUUUUAACAGAUAAAUUUUAUUUGGUUGGGGUGAUUGUAAAAUGUAAGAAACUUUUAUUUAUUUAAGACAUAGAUGAAUGAUUUUUUGAUCCAUGAUGAAUGAUUAUAAGAUAAAAUUACCUAAGGGAUAACAGCGUAAUUUUUUUUAAGAGUUCUAAUCGAAAAAAAAGUUUGCGACCUCGAUGUUGGAUUAAAAUUAAUUUUUGGUGUAGAAGCUAAGAAUUUUAGGUCUGUUCGACCUUUGAAAUUUUACAUGAUCUGAGUUC
This 535-nucleotide ribosomal RNA is filed under the name Annamanum griseolum. RNAcentral's name for it is "partial 16S rRNA". It matches the Rfam family "Bacterial large subunit ribosomal RNA", at positions 1802 to 2612 of the family's 2925-position model. The record is from RNAcentral. Lineage: Eukaryota; Metazoa; Arthropoda; Insecta; Coleoptera; Cerambycidae.